CAUAAAGUUAUGUACAGAUCCACAGUGUAUUCAUGAAUCUCCUUCUUUUGUUACAGUUAAUCAGGCAGCAAAAGAAGACACCGUGGUUUUGAAGAUUGGCUCUGUUGCCAUGGCUCCCCAGGCUGACAAUCCCCUUGGCAGAUCUGUCCUUAGGAAAGAUAUUUACCAGAGAGCCUUGAACUUAGGAAUUCUUCGAGAUCCUGGAUCAGAAAUCGAAGACAGACAAUACCAAAUAGACCUGCAGUCUAUCAAUAUAGGUACUGCACAGUGGGAUCAACUAAAACCAGAGAAGGAAAGUGUCUCAGGAGGGGUGCUAAAAGAGACUGAAAGGAAUUCUCAAAAUCCAGCCCUCGAGUGGAAUAUGGCCAGCAGCAUACGGCGGCAUCAAGAAAGGAGAGCAAUUUUGACUCCCAUUUUGACAGAUUUUUCUGUCCGAAUAACUGGAGCACCGGCUAUCAUUUUCACCAAAAUCAUUUCUCCAGAAAAUCUGCAUACUGAGGAGAUUUUAGUGUGUGGCCAUUCCUUAGAAGUGAAUAUAACAACAAACCUGGACUUCUUCCUAAGUGUGGCUCAAGUUCAACUCUUACAUCAGUUAAUAGUAGCAAAUAUGACUGGACUGGAACCAUCAAACAAGGCUGCGGAGAUCUCUAAACAAGAACAGAAAAAAGUGGAUACAUUUGAUGGAGGCAUGGCUGAAACCUCAUCUCGGUACAGUGGUGCUCAGGAUAGUGGAAUUGGCAGUGACAGUGUUAAAAUCAGAAUAGUGCAAAUAGAGCAGCACAGUGGUGCCAGCCAGCAUCGCAUUGCCCGUCCCUCACGCCAGUCAUCAAUUGUAAAAAAUCUAAAUUUUAUUCCCUUUGACAUAUUUAUCACUGCAAGUAGAAUCUCACUAAUGACCUAUUCCUGUAUGGCCUUAUCCAAAUCGAAAUCACAAGAACAGAAGGAUAAUGAAAAAACAGACAAGAGUUCAUUAAAUCUCCCAGAAGUUGAUUCAGAUGUUGCUAAGCCCAACCAGGCAUGUAUUUCUACGGUGACAGCAGAAGAUCUCUUAAGGAGCAGCAUUUCUUUUCCUUCAGGGAAAAAAAUAGGGGUCCUCUCUCUUGAAAGUAUUCAUGCAUCCACAAGGUCAUCUGCUAGACAAGCACUUGGUAUAACUAUUGUUCGGCAGCCUGGUCGAAGAGGAACUGGUGACUUACAGCUAGAACCUUUUCUGUACUUUAUUGUGUCCCAGCCUUCCUUGCUUGUGAGUUGUCACCACAGAAAGCAGCGAGUGGAAGUAUCCAUUUUUGAUGCUGUGCUUAAAGGGGUGGCCUCUGAUUACAAAUGUACAGGUAAGAACCUUCAAACUUACUGAAGUGCUAAUAAUUACUAUCUAAUAAGUUGUACUCCCAUAGUUUCCAGAUUGAUUAAACAGAAACAGCUGACAGACAAAACUUCUUUUCUCUGCAGAAUAGGUAAAGUUCAUGUUCCACAGCUGAAUCCUGUUUAAAUAUUUGCAAUGUAUUGAGGUUUAGCCUUAGUAUUGUUACUAUGCCUCUGAAUAUCAUUUUUUUUUUUCCAGGAACUGAAUGAAACAGGGAUUCUCUUGACUAUAGAGAUGCUUAACAAUUUCCAGUGUUUGGAAAGCAUAGCUCGGUUUCAUAUUAAUGGCCCAUAGGUAUACUUUCCAUGUUAAUGCUUCUAUUCAGAUUAAAAAAGAAAAGCCUUAGAAGAUGAAGUUUGUUUUUGGUAUUCUUUUGAUGUAAUCAUCUUGAUGCAAUAG
Long non-coding RNA from Rhinopithecus bieti (black snub-nosed monkey), 1762 nucleotides. The record is from Ensembl. Lineage: Eukaryota; Metazoa; Chordata; Mammalia; Primates; Cercopithecidae.